UCCCUGAUGGUCCAGUGGUUAAGACGCCGAGCUCUCAGUGCGGGGAGCACGGGUUUGAUCCCUGGUCAGGGAA
Molecule: transfer RNA, 73 nt
Filed under: Ovis aries (sheep)
Lineage: Eukaryota; Metazoa; Chordata; Mammalia; Artiodactyla; Bovidae
Rfam family: tRNA
About the family: Transfer RNA (tRNA) molecules are approximately 80 nucleotides in length.
Source: Rfam by way of RNAcentral